Molecule: ribosomal RNA, 253 nt
Filed under: uncultured bacterium
Lineage: Bacteria
Description: partial 16S ribosomal RNA
Rfam family: Bacterial small subunit ribosomal RNA
Source: RNAcentral
UACGUAGGUGGCAAGCGUUGUCCGGAUUUACUGGGUGUAAAGGGCGUGUAGCCGGGUUGACAAGUCAGAUGUGAAAUCCUGCGGCUUAACCGCAGAACUGCAUUUGAAACUGUUGAUCUUGAGUACCGGAGAGGCAGACGGGAUUCCUAGUGUAGCGGUGAAAUGCGUAGAUAUUAGGAGGAACACCAGUGGCGAAGGCGGUCUGCUGGACAGCAACUGACGGUGAGGCGCGAAAGCGUGGGGAGCAAACAGG